Molecule: non-coding RNA, 355 nt
Organism: Paramuricea clavata
Lineage: Eukaryota; Metazoa; Cnidaria; Anthozoa; Malacalcyonacea; Plexauridae
Source: the annotation of a GenBank genome assembly
UCAAAUCGAAACCUUGACAUCCCCCCCUCCGGGCAUACCUGGGGAAUUUGCUUGUUUAGUAUUUUAAGAAUUUUCUAGUGGAAGGUGGGGAAUUUGAAGGGGGUCGGGAAUUUGAAUUUUUCUUUUAAACACGUGUGCAGAAUCCAAAAUGGCGUCAAUAAUUAAUGGAUGAGUUCAAGGUCUUCAAGUGCAAAGGAAUUAACUUUGUCCUUGGUUGGCUACAAGAAAACGGCUUUGAACGAUUGAAGAGAGUUUUUGAAGGAAAGAAAAACUUUGAAAUUCCAAAAUUGCGAAAUGCUGUAGCUUCCAAUUCGUACAUGGGGUGGGGUAUUUGAACUCCAAUUUUUCCCAAUAC